This 322-nucleotide ribosomal RNA is filed under the name Hemiplecta ligorica. RNAcentral describes it as "partial large subunit ribosomal RNA". The record is from RNAcentral. Lineage: Eukaryota; Metazoa; Mollusca; Gastropoda; Stylommatophora; Ariophantidae.
AAGGUAGCAUAAUAAAUUGACUUUUAAUUGAAGCCUUGAAUGAAAGGAUAAAUGAAUAAUUACUAUAUUAUAUUAUUUAUUAUAAUUUAUUUAAAAGGUGAAAAUCCCUUUUUAAUAUAAUAGACGAGAAGACCCUAGGAGUUUUUUUGUUGGGGCAACAUUAUAGCAUUUAAUCUAUAAAUAUAAAUUAAUAAAACGAAAAUUUUUAACAAUAAUUAAACUACCCUAGGGAUAACAGCAUAAAGUUUGUGACCUCGAUGUUGGAUUAGGGAAUUUAAAGUUAACAGCGUUAAAUGAUAGUUCUGUUCGAACUUACUUACCU